GAUGAACGCUGGCGGCGUGCCUAACACAUGCAAGUCGAGCGAGAUAAAUGUGAGUGGAGACUUCGGUCAAAGCGAUCAUUUUGAAAGCGGCGGACGGGUGAGUAACGCGUGAGCAAUCUGCCCCAUACAAAGGGAUACCCACUGGAAACGGUGAUUAAUACCUUAUAAGACCACGAAGUCGCCUGGCUUAGUGGCCAAAGAUUUAUCGGUAUGGGAUGAGCUCGCGUCUGAUUAGCUAGUUGGUGAGGUAAUGGCUCACCAAGGCGACGAUCAGUAGCCGACCUGAGAGGGUGAACGGCCACACUGGAAGUGAGACACGGUCCAGACUCCUACGGGAGGCAGCAGUGGGGAAUAUUGCACAAUGGGCGCAAGCCUGAUGCAGCAACGCCGCGUGAAUGAUGAAGGCCUUCGGGUCGUAAAGUUCUGUCCUAAGGGAAGAAUACAGUGACGGUACCUUAGGAGGAAGCCCCGGCUAACUACGUGCCAGCCGCCGCAGUAA
Molecule: ribosomal RNA, 499 nt
Filed under: uncultured bacterium
Lineage: Bacteria
Description: partial 16S ribosomal RNA
Rfam family: Bacterial small subunit ribosomal RNA
Source: RNAcentral